This is a long non-coding RNA of Uranotaenia lowii, 455 nucleotides long. RefSeq lists it as uncharacterized. NCBI's taxonomy places the organism in Eukaryota, Metazoa, Arthropoda, Insecta, Diptera, Culicidae. The transcript has 3 exons. The record is from RefSeq and is a predicted model, not a curated record.
CCAACUUGAUUUUAUGUUGUGUAAAAGUGGCAGCGGAUAAUCGAAAGAGGUCGGAAGACGAACAGUAUCGACAUUUGGAUGUGGCCUUUUCGUAGCUGGCUGGCGAAUACUAAUUCAGAAGAAGAAGAAGAAGCACAAUUGGAAACCUCAGCAACGUAAGGAAGAACGGAAAGACGAUUCUAUUCUGGAAGAUUACUGAGAUGGCGGUGAUUUUUUUUUGUAGUCAUGAAUGCAGUCAAACGGCUCCGGAUGGAAUUCCGCCGUGCCCGGUUCCCCCCAGCCAGGCAAUUACCGGAACCAAUAUGUACAUGUUAUGUCCAUUUAUGGCAACAGGAAAUAAUCACAUCAUCCUUACAAGGAUUCUGCAAUACUCAUCAGCAAGAGAUCCCGAUAUUGUUUUUAUAAAAAUGAAUGAAGUUUAGUGACAGUGCACGUGUGUGACAACAGUAAUCAAG